Molecule: small RNA, 669 nt
Filed under: Pongo abelii (Sumatran orangutan)
Lineage: Eukaryota; Metazoa; Chordata; Mammalia; Primates; Hominidae
Description: retained intron
Source: RNAcentral
CUCAUAUUCGAAAGCCUGUCUAAACCAUGUGACUACCAAACAGGACCAAAUUGAGUCCUUCCUACCCACAGGCACUUGGUCCCCCCUGGCCCCCAGUUAGCUCUUCAAAACCAAGCUUGGGACAGGUGCCACGAGUCGUUUUUAAAGCAAAAUCUUUCAACACCUCUUAGAAACUUGUAUUUGCCAGCCAUGCUACAAUUAACUCAAACUGAAGAUUAUCAAGUACACCCAUAAUUAGUAGUUUCCUUGUCUUACAUACCCUUUGUCUUCAUAAAUUUUCUCUUGGUUGAUGACAGGCUUCAAUGGCUGAGAAUAGUAUACCUCUAUACACUACCGCUUCCAUGGGAAAUCCCACUCUGGGCAACUUAGCCAGCGCAAUACGGGAAGAGCUGAACGGGGCAAUGGAGCAUACCAACAGCAACGAGAGUGACAGCAGUCCAGGCAGAUCUCCUAUGCAAGCCGUGCAUCCUGUACACGUCAAAGAAGAGCCCCUCGAUCCAGAGGAAGCUGAAGGGCCCCUGUCCUUAGUGACAACAGCCAACCACAGUCCAGAUUUUGACCAUGACAGAGAUUACGAAGAUGAACCAGUAAACGAGGACAUGGAGUGAAUAUCGGGGCGGGCCAACCCUGAGAAUGAAGAUUGGAAAAAGGAAGAAAAAAAAAAAAAAA